GAAGACAAAUUGUGUGCUGAUGGAGUCAUUUGAAACUGAAGAACCCGAUUACCUGGUGGAGUGCUCUGGGAUCUGAGAGGUUCCUCAGGGGCGUCAGGAGAACCAGCUGAUUUCAACUCCGGACUCACCCUGGCCCGUGUAAGGUGUUUACUGAAGGUGAAUGAAGAACUCUACAACAGAAGAACCCUUCACUAUACAAAGAACCCACUGAAGAACCUCAGCGUGCUGCAGGUGAAGAGGAUGAUGUUUUCUGUGGAGUAAAUGACACAUUGUUCAAAAUUCAAAGGAAAGUUGUUUAAUUCUUUAUUUUAUUUAUCUUUGUGAGUUUUUAAACUUUUUUCCGUCCAGUUUAAGGACACUGAGUAAAUGAUUUCAUUUCGUCAGACUUUUUUUUUUUUUUCAUGUCCAAUCAUUUUUUCCGUUUCUGUGUCUGAAACUCGGAUGUGACGUGACGGAGUCCUGUACGUUCUCCAAGUUUACAGAUAAAAUAAGAUGAACGAGUCGUCCUGAUCACGCUGUCGUUCCUGCACUACUGCACAUUCUGACCGGGUCUGAAGCCUGAACUCUACUGAACUCUGUUUAAUGAUGCUCGCUCUCUUCCAUAUCUACAUUGUAAUGAAUAUCUGUAAUGGAACAGGGACCGAGUUCCACUGCUAUUCCUCAGAAGUGCUGAUUAAAGUCUAAUGGAACGAUUUUGAUAUGUUUAAAUGAGAAUGUUGUGCAGGAAACGCUCUAAGAACAUAACGCAAACGUAGCGUAAUCCAUAAA
This is a long non-coding RNA of Ictalurus punctatus (channel catfish), 768 nucleotides long. NCBI's taxonomy places the organism in Eukaryota, Metazoa, Chordata, Actinopteri, Siluriformes, Ictaluridae. The record is from Ensembl.